This 500-nucleotide ribosomal RNA is filed under the name uncultured bacterium. RNAcentral's name for it is "bacterial SSU rRNA". It matches the Rfam family "Bacterial small subunit ribosomal RNA", at positions 29 to 523 of the family's 1533-position model. The record is from RNAcentral.
AACGAACGCUGGCGGCGCGCUUAACACAUGCAAGUCGAACGAGAAGGCGUAGCAAUACGCUUGUACAGUGGCGAACGGGUGAGUAAUACGUGGGCGACCUACCCUCGAGUGGGGAAUAACCCGCCGAAAGGCGGGCUAAUGCCGCGUACGCUUCCAUCUUUAUGGAGGUGGAAGGAAAGCCGUGCCGUGGGCACGGCGCUCAAGGAUGGGCUCACGUCCUAUCAGCUUGUUGGAGGGUAACGGCCUACCAAGGCUCCGACGGGUAGCUGGUCUGAGAGGACGAUCAGCCACACUGGCACUGCGACACGGGCCAGACUCCUACGGGAGGCAGCAGUGAGGAAUAUUGCGCAAUGGGCGAAAGCCUGACGCAGCGACGCCGCGUGGGGGAUGAAGGUCUUCGGAUUGUAAACCCCUUUCGGGAGGGAAGAUGGGACGGGCAACCGUUCGGACGGUACCUCCAGAAGCAGCCACGGCUAACUUCGUGCCAGCCGCCGCCGUAA